AGUUUGAUCAUGGCUCAGAUUGGACACUGGCGGAUGCUUUACAUGCAAGUCGAACGGCAGUACGGACUUCAGUCUGGUGGCGAGUGGCGAACGGGUGAGUAAUGUAUCGGAACGUGCCUAGUAGCGGGGGAUAACUACGCGAAAGCGUAGCUAAUACCGCAUACGCCCUUCGGGGAAAGCAGGGAUGGCGGGCCUCAUAUGGAAACGGCCGAUAUCGGAUUAGCUAGUUGAGGUGGGGUAACGGCUCCGCAAGGCGACGAUCCGUAGCUGGUUUGAGAGGACGACCAACCACACUGGGACUGAGACACGGCCCAGACUCCUACGGGAGGCAGCAGUGGGGUACGGACAAUGGGGAAACCCUGAUCAGCCAUCCCGCGUGUGCGAUGAAGGCCUUCAGGUUGUAAAAGCACUUUUGGCAGAAAGAAACGGCACGGGAUAAUACCCGUGCAACUGACGGUACAGGAAUAAGCUGCCGGCUAACUACGUGCCCAGCAGCCGCGUGUACGUAGGUGCAAGCGUUAAUCAACACUGGGCGUAAAGCGUGCGCAGGCGGUUCCGGAAAGAAAGAUGCUGAAAUCCCAGAGCUUAACUUUGGAACUGCAUUUUUAACUACCGAGCUAAGAGUGUGUCAGAGGGAGGUGGAAUUCCGCGUGUAGCAGUGAAAUGCGUAGAUAUGGAGGAGCACGUGGCGAAGGCAGCCUCCUGGGAUAGCCACUGACGCUCAUGCACGAAAGCGUGAGAGCAAACAGGAUUGAAUGCCCUGGUAGUCCACGCCCUAAACUGAUGUCGCUAAGCUGUUGGGGCCUUCGGGCCUUGGUAGCGCAGUUAACGCGUGAAGUUGACCGCCUGGGGGGAGUACGGUCGCCAAGAUUAAACUCAAAGGAAUUGACGGGGACCCGCACAAGCGGUGGAUGAUGUCUGGUUAAUUCGAUGCAACGCGAAAAACCUUACCUACCCUUGACAUGUCUGGAAUCCCGAAGAGAUUUGGGAGUGCUCGCAGAAGAACCGGAACACAGGUGCUGCAUGGCUGUCGUCAGCUCGUGUGAGAUGUUGGGUUAAGUCCCGCAACGAAGCUGUGCCAUCCAUUAGAUUGCUACGAAGGGCACUCUAAUGAGACUGCCGGUGGCAAACCGGAGGAAGGUGGGGAUGACGUCGAGUCCUCAUGGCCCUUAUGGUGAGGCUUCACACGUCAUGCAAUGGUCGGGACAGAGGGUCGCCGCCCGCGAGGAGAGCCAAUCCCAGAAACCCGAUCGUAGUCCGGAUCGCGUCUGUCGACUGCGUGAAGUCGGAAUCGCUAGUAAUCGCGGAUCAGCAUGUCGCAGUGAAUACGUUCCCGGGUCUUGUACACACCGCCCGUCACACCAUGGGAUGUGGGUUUUGCCAGAAGUAGUUAGCUAACGUAGGAGAGGGCGAUUACCACGGUAGGAUUCGCGACUGGGGUGAAGUCGUAACAGGGUAA
RNAcentral lists this ribosomal RNA (1459 nucleotides) under uncultured Bordetella sp. Its description in RNAcentral is "partial 16S-23S ribosomal RNA intergenic spacer". It matches the Rfam family "Bacterial small subunit ribosomal RNA". Lineage: Bacteria; Pseudomonadati; Pseudomonadota; Betaproteobacteria; Burkholderiales; Alcaligenaceae. The record is from RNAcentral.